UAGCAAUACGAUGGAAAGUCUAGUGGCGAACGGGUGCUUAACACGUGGGCAACCUGCCAGGAAGUGGGGGAUAGCUCGCCGAAAGGCGAAUUAAUACCGCAUGUGAUUAGAGAGGACAUCCUUUCGAAAUUAAAGUCGGGGCAACCCGACGCUUCUUGUGGGGCCCGCGGCCUAUCAGCUAGUUGGUGAGGUAACGGCUCACCAAGGCUUUGACGGGUAGCUGGUCUGAGAGGACGACCAGCCACACUGGGACUGAGACACGGCCCAGACACCUACGGGUGGCAGCAGUCGAGAAUUUUUGACAAUGGGGGAAACCCUGAUCGAGCGACGCCGCGUGGAGGAUGAAGGUCUUCGGAUUGUAAACUCCUGUCAUUGGGGAACAAGGUGCAUAUGUUAACUGCGUGUGCAUUGAUAGUACCCGAAGAGGAAGAGACGGCUAACUCUGUGCCAGCAGCCGCGGUAAUACAGAGGUCUCAAGCGUUGUUCGGAUUCAUUGGGCGUAAAGGGUGCGUAGGCGGCGCGGUAAGUCGGGUGUGAAAUCUCGGAGCUUAACUCCGAAACUGCAUUCGAUACUGCCGUGCUUGAGGACUGGAGAGGAGACUGGAAUUCACGGUGUAGCA
RNAcentral lists this ribosomal RNA (620 nucleotides) under uncultured Verrucomicrobiota bacterium. RNAcentral describes it as "bacterial SSU rRNA". It matches the Rfam family "Bacterial small subunit ribosomal RNA", at positions 77 to 680 of the family's 1533-position model. Lineage: Bacteria; Pseudomonadati; Verrucomicrobiota. The record is from RNAcentral.